Molecule: long non-coding RNA, 413 nt
Filed under: Fukomys damarensis (Damara mole-rat)
Lineage: Eukaryota; Metazoa; Chordata; Mammalia; Rodentia; Bathyergidae
Description: lncRNA (ENSFDAG00000031550.1)
Source: RNAcentral
GGAAGUGAUAAGCGAAAGGUGAAAGAGGGAUGGUGUGCUAGUGACCUUAGAGAGUUUGAAAAAUGUGACGGUCAUGUCUUCUGUGAGGAUCUCCGGAAAUAAGAUAAUGGAUAUGGCUGAAUCUGUACAAAAAGAAUCUUGUUAGCAAGUUUCUGAGAGCAUGGACAUCAAGAGCAGAAAUAGUCAUCCAGAAACAGACCCUGAUAAAGGGGAUGACUACUUUACUGCAGAGAUCAAUUGACUUUGAAAGGUUUGAAAGAAACUUUUAAGGCCAUAUAGGCAUCUAAUGAAUCAAGUGCCAAGUGAAGUGAAAGUGCUUGAGUAAAAGACAAUAAUAAACUUGUCCCACGCAGUCCCACAAAUCCCAGCUAACUUUCAUCAGCCUGGUAAGUAGGACAACAGAUUUUUUUCAU